CGGCGAGUGAAGCGGCAAAAGCUCAAAUUUGAAAUCUGGCACCUUCGGUGUCCGAGUUGUAAUUUGAAGAUUGUAACCUUGGGGUUGGCUCUUGUCUAUGUUUCUUGGAACAGGACGUCACAGAGGGUGAGAAUCCCGUGCGAUGAGAUGCCCAAUCCUAUGUAAGGUGCUUUCGAAGAGUCGAGUUGUUUGGGAAUGCAGCUCUAAGUGGGUGGUAAAUUCCAUCUAAAGCUAAAUAUUGGCGAGAGACCGAUAGCGAACAAGUACAGUGAUGGAAAGAUGAAAAGAACUUUGAAAAGAGAGUGAAAAAGUACGUGAAAUUGUUGAAAGGGAAGGGUUUGAGAUCAGACUCGAUAUUUUGUGAGCCUUGCCUUCGUGGCGGGGUGACCCGCAGCUUAUCGGGCCAGCAUCGGUUUGGGCGGUAGGAUAAUGGCGUAGGAAUGUGACUUUGCUUCGGUGAAGUGUUAUAGCCUGCGUUGAUGCUGCCUGCCUAGACCGAGGACUGCGAUUUUAUCAAGGAUGCUGGCAUAAUGAUCCCAAACCGCCCGUCUUGAAACUGGACCACAUG
Molecule: ribosomal RNA, 568 nt
Filed under: Meyerozyma guilliermondii
Lineage: Eukaryota; Fungi; Ascomycota; Pichiomycetes; Serinales; Debaryomycetaceae
Description: partial large subunit ribosomal RNA
Rfam family: Eukaryotic large subunit ribosomal RNA
Source: RNAcentral